CUUGACUUGACUGAUCAAAUCUCCUGGAUUUCCAGCUACAAUGAGGCUCUGUUCUUGGGCUCUGGGUCUCCUAAUGCUCUGGAUCACUGGGUCCAAUGGUGAUAUUGUAAUGACUCAGACUCCACUCUCCCUGGCUGUCACCCUGGGAGAGACGGUCUCCCUCUCCUGCAGGUCAAGUCAGAGCCUCAUAUAUAGUGAUGGAGAUAGCCUUCUGUAUUGGUUCCUUCAGAAGCCUGGCCAGUCUGCACAGCAAUUGAUCUAUUGGGCUACCAACCGAGAAUCUGGGGUCCCAGACAGAUUCAGUGGCAGUGGGUCAGGCACAGAUUUCACACUGCAAAUCAGCAAUGUGGAGGCUGAGAAUAAUGGGAUUUAUUACUGCUUGCAAAGUAGAUCUACUCCUCCGACAGUGAUACAGUGCUUAACAAAAACAUCUCUGUAGGGCUUGGUCCAGCUGUCCUAUUUCAAAGCUUGUCUGGAGAGCAGCAUAGCAAAUUCUCUGAACUGAAGCAGGAAUCUGAGUUUGGAGGACUUGACAGAAGAUGUCAUACUAGAGACCUUGUCCAAGU
This is a non-coding RNA of Dipodomys ordii (Ord's kangaroo rat), 566 nucleotides long. NCBI's taxonomy places the organism in Eukaryota, Metazoa, Chordata, Mammalia, Rodentia, Heteromyidae. The record is from the annotation of a RefSeq genome assembly.